UACGUAGGGUGCAAGCGUUAAUCGGAAUUACUGGGCGUAAAGCGUGCGCAGGCGGUUAUGCAAGACAGAUGUGAAAUCCCCGGGCUUAACCUGGGCACUGCAUUUGUGACUGCAUGGCUAGAGUGUGUCAGAGGGGGGUAGAAUUCCACGUGUAGCAGUGAAAUGCGUAGAGAUGUGGAGGAACACCGAUGGCGAAGGCAGCCCCCUGGGAUAACACUGACGCUCAUGCACGAAAGCGUGGGGAGCAAACAGG
This 253-nucleotide ribosomal RNA is filed under the name uncultured bacterium. RNAcentral's name for it is "partial 16S ribosomal RNA". It matches the Rfam family "Bacterial small subunit ribosomal RNA", at positions 524 to 776 of the family's 1533-position model. The record is from RNAcentral.